AUUGAUUCUCAGCCUUUUGGCUAAGAUCCAGUGCAGUAUCUGUUCUUAUCAAUUUAAUAUCUGAUACGUCCUCUAUCGAAGGACAAUAUAUUAAAUGGGUUUUUGGAGCAGGGGGACGGAAUGAGAGUUUACUCCAUCCACUCCACACAUUGACCUGGCAUUGUAGGACCUCCAGGAAUGGUGCUCCCCUU
Molecule: small nuclear RNA, 191 nt
Organism: Zalophus californianus (California sea lion)
Lineage: Eukaryota; Metazoa; Chordata; Mammalia; Carnivora; Otariidae
Gene: U2
Rfam family: U2 spliceosomal RNA
About the family: U2 is a small nuclear RNA (snRNA) component of the spliceosome (involved in pre-mRNA splicing). Complementary binding between U2 snRNA (in an area lying towards the 5' end but 3' to hairpin I) and the branchpoint sequence (BPS) of the intron results the bulging out of an unpaired adenosine, on the BPS, which initiates a nucleophilic attack at the intronic 5' splice site, thus starting the first of two transesterification reactions that mediate splicing.
Source: Ensembl